RNAcentral lists this ribosomal RNA (373 nucleotides) under Anagenesia minor. RNAcentral's name for it is "partial 16S rRNA". The stretch from base 1 to 187 matches the Rfam family "Archaeal large subunit ribosomal RNA", at positions 1923 to 2143 of the family's 2987-position model. Lineage: Eukaryota; Metazoa; Arthropoda; Insecta; Ephemeroptera; Palingeniidae. The record is from RNAcentral.
CGCUUAUUGGUAAUAUAAUAAGUCUAGCCUGCCCACUGAAAAUUUAUUAAAGGGCCGCAGUAUUUUGACUGUGCAAAGGUAGCAUAAUCAUUAGUCUUUUAAUUAAAGGCUGGAAUGAAGGGCUGAACGAAGUAUUAACUGUCUCAUUUAAAUAAAAUAAAUUUAACUUUUUAGUGAAAAGGCUAAAUUAAUAUUAAAGGACGAGAAGACCCUAUAGAGCUUUAUAAAUCUAAAAUAAUAUUGAUUAGUAGAUUAGUAAUAUUAUUUGAGACUUAUUUUGUUGGGGUGACAAAAAGAUAAAUUAACUCUUUAAGAUUUAGGCAUAGAUGAAUGAAUAAAAGAUCCACUAAUAGUGAUAAAAGUUUAAGUUACC